GCGAACGUAUCACCCAAGACAACUUUACGGAGUUGACGAUUGACGGAGCGAAGCGACGUCAAAGCGUUCAUUAAAGUCGAGUUGGCUUAGGGAUACGUUCGUUGGGUAGGGGAGCGUUCUGUAAGCCUGUGAAGGUGUGUCGUGAGGCAUGCUGGAGGUAUCAGAAGUGCGAAUGCUGACAUAAGUAACGAUAAAGCGGGUGAAAAGCCCGCUCGCCGGAAGACCAAGGGUUCCUGUCCAACGUUAAUCGGGGCAGGGUGAGUCGACCCCUAAGGCGAGGCCGAAAGGCGUAGUCGAUGGGAAACGGGUUAAUAUUCCCGUACUUGGUGUUACUGCGAAGGGGGGACGGAGAAGGCUAUGUUGGCCGGGCGACGGUUGUCCCGGUUUAAGCGUGUAGGUGUGUGUUCCAGGUAAAUCCGGUUCACUUUAACACUGAGGCGUGACGACGAGGCACUACGGUGCUGAAGCAACAAAUGCCCUGCUUCCAGGAAAAGCCUCUAAGCAUCAGGUAACACGAAAUCGUACCCCAAACCGACACAGGUGGUCAGGUAGAGAAUACCAAGGCGCUUGAGAGAACUCGGGUGAAGGAACUAGGCAAAAUGGUGCCGUAACUUCGGGAGAAGGCACGCUGACACGUAGGUGAAGUGAUUUACUCAUGGAGCUGAAGUCAGUCGAAGAUACCAGCUGGCUGCAACUGUUUAUUAAAAACACAGCACUGUGCAAACACGAAAGUGGACGUAUACGGUGUGACGCCUGCCCGGUGCCGGAAGGUUAAUUGAUGGGGUCAGCGCAAGCGAAGCUCCUGAUCGAAGCCCCGGUAAACGGCGGCCGUAACUAUAACGGUCCUAAGGUAGCGAAAUUCCUUGUCGGGUAAGUUCCGACCUGCACGAAUGGCGUAAUGAUGGCCAGGCUGUCUCCACCCGAGACUCAGUGAAAUUGAACUCGCUGUGAAGAUGCAGUGUACCCGCGGCAAGACGGAAAGACCCCGUGAACCUUUACUAUAGCUUGACACUGAACAUUGAGCCUUGAUGUGUAGGAUAGGUGGGAGGCUUUGAAGUGUGGACGCCAGUCUGCAUGGAGCCGACCUUGAAAUACCACCCUUUAAUGUUUGAUGUUCUAACGUGGACCCGUAAUCCGGGUUGCGGACAGUGUCUGGUGGGUAGUUUGACUGGGGCGGUCUCCUCCUAAAGAGUAACGGAGGAGCACGAAGGUUGGCUAAUCCUGGUCGGACAUCAGGAGGUUAGUGCAAUGGCAUAAGCCAGCUUGACUGCGAGCGUGACGGCGCGAGCAGGUGCGAAAGCAGGUCAUAGUGAUCCGGUGGUUCUGAAUGGAAGGGCCAUCGCUCAACGGAUAAAAGGUACUCCGGGGAUAACAGGCUGAUACCGCCCAAGAGUUCAUAUCGACGGCGGUGUUUGGCACCUCGAUGUCGGCUCAUCACAUCCUGGGGCUGAAGUAGGUCCCAAGGGUAUGGCUGUUCGCCAUUUAAAGUGGUACGCGAGCUGGGUUUAGAACGUCGUGAGACAGUUCGGUCCCUAUCUGCCGUGGGCGCUGGAGAACUGAGGGGGGCUGCUCCUAGUACGAGAGGACCGGAGUGGACGCAUCACUGGUGUUCGGGUUGUCAUGCCAAUGGCACUGCCCGGUAGCUAAAUGCGGAAGAGAUAAGUGCUGAAAGCAUCUAAGCACGAAACUUGCCCCGAGAUGAGUUCUCCCUGAGACUUUAGGUCUCCUGAAGGAACGUUGAAGACGACGACGUUGAUAGGCCGGGUGUGUAAGCGCAGCGAUGCGUUGAGCUAACCGGUACUAAUGAACCGUGAGGCUUAACCUUACAACGCCGAAG
This 1837-nucleotide ribosomal RNA is filed under the name Salmonella enterica. RNAcentral's name for it is "partial 23S ribosomal RNA". It matches the Rfam family "Bacterial large subunit ribosomal RNA", at positions 1149 to 2925 of the family's 2925-position model. Lineage: Bacteria; Pseudomonadati; Pseudomonadota; Gammaproteobacteria; Enterobacterales; Enterobacteriaceae. The record is from RNAcentral.